GACGAAGUGUCGGCAACACUGUAUAGGCGGGGUUGCCAAACCGCUCCACGCUGCAAAAGUGGUAACGCUGCUGUGGUGAACGGUUGGAGAAAAGGCGGGUUAAAACCGUCAGGU
Molecule: non-coding RNA, 114 nt
Organism: Candidatus Desantisbacteria bacterium CG2_30_40_21
Lineage: Bacteria; Candidatus Desantisiibacteriota
Source: Rfam